This 125-nucleotide small RNA is filed under the name Marmota monax (woodchuck). The record is from RNAcentral. Lineage: Eukaryota; Metazoa; Chordata; Mammalia; Rodentia; Sciuridae.
ACCUGGCACGGUGGUGUGUGCCUGUAAUCCCAGCAGCUCAGGAGGCUGAGGCAGGAGGAUCACGAGUUCAAAGCCAGCCUCAGUGAAAGUGAGGCACUAAGCAACUCAGUGAGACCCUGUCUCUA